CGUAACUGGUCGAAUAAAAGACCAAGCACAGGAAUUCGUAUUGGUGGGACAAAUGGGAUUAUUCCACCUUGUCCUAAGUGUAAUAAACUCCACAAGGGUGAAUGCUUAUUUGGUAAGAACAUGUGCUUUCGAUGUGGUAAGCCGGGACACAUUGCCUUACACUGUACAGAACCUCCAAAGAAGAAAGAUGAUGAUCAAGAUAAGAACAAGAAGGGGAAGGCCCGAGUUUUUUCACUAAACCAGCAUGAGGCGGAACAGGAUCCGAAUGUGAUAGCAGGUAUUAUAAUAUUAUUUAGAAUAUCUAUUUAUGUUCUAAAUUUUACAUUCUUCGACGCUAGCUCUAACACUAUUAUUACGGAAACAGGUAUCCUAUCAUUAUCUGAUGUACCUGCUUACGUACUUUUUGACUCUGGGGCUACAAAUUCGUUUAUCUCUGCAUCCUUCGUCAUUAGGUCUAACUUUGCACCUGUGAAAACGAAUAAUGAAUUAGAGGUUAGCAUCCCUUCAGGAAAAACUCUUUGCACUAAUCAGAUGACUAAGGCUAUGAAAUUAGAGAUUGAUGGGAAAAUACUACAGGUAGACUUAUACAUUUUGGAGAUGAACGAUUUUGACGUUAUUUUAGGCAUGGACUGGUUGGGACUCAACCAUGCAACCAUUCUAUGUCGUGAAAGAGAAGUAUUAUUUCAUAGGCCGGGAGAGGAAGAGUUCCAUUUCUUUGGAGCAAAGUUCAAAUCUCUACCUCGUCUUGUAUCGGCAAUACAAGCGGAGAAGAUGUUGAGAAAGGAGUCAUGUCAGGGAUUCUUAGUUAAUAUCAACGGUUCCAAACAUACCGAGACAACCAUUAAAGAUAUUAACAUUGUGCGAGAUUUUGUAGACGUAUUUCCAGAAGACUUACCCGGCAUUCCACAAGAUAGGCAGGUGGAAUUUACUAUUGACUUAGUUCCCAGUGCUGCACCAGUAUCUAAGGCUCCGUACCGAAUGGCACCGAAAGAACUCCAAGAGUUGAAAUUACAAUUGGAGGAGUUACUGGAAAAAGGAUUCAUUCGACCAAGCGUAUCUCCUUGGGGCGCUCCAGUACUUUUUGUGAAGAAGAAGGAUGGGAGUAUGAGGAUGUGCAUUGACUAUCGAGAAUUGAAUCAUUUAACUAUAAAAAAUAGAUACCCCCUACCAAGAAUAGAAGAUUUAUUCGACCAGUUAAGGGGCGCAACGGUGUUUUCGAAGAUCGACUUGAGGUCGGGGUAUCAUCAACUGAAGAUCAAGGCAAGCGAUAUAUCAAAAACUGCUUUCAGAACCCGUUAUGGGCACUACGAGUUUACUGUCAUGCCUUUUGGUUUGACCAAUGCUCCGGCGGUGUUUAUGGACCUAAUGAACCGAGUGUUUCAUCAAUAUUUGGACCAGUUCGUCAUAGUAUUUAUUGACGAUAUACUUGUGUACUCCAAAGAUAGGAAGCAGCAUGAGGAACAACUUAGAAUAGUACUCGAUACUUUGAGGAAGGAGAAAUUAUAUGCCAAACUCAAGAAGUGCGAAUUUUGGCUCGAUCGCAUAGGUUUUCUUGGUCAUGUGGUUACCGCCCAAGGAAUUGAAGUAGACCCAGUUAAAGUGGAAGCAGUGAUUAAUUGGCCUAGCCCGUCGAGUGCAAGUGAAGUUCGCAGUUUCUUAGGAUUGGCCGGCUAUUAUCGGAGAUUUAUAGAAGAUUUCUCAAAAAUAGCAGGUCCGAUGACUCAGUUGACUCGAAAGGGGGUGAAGUUCCAGUGGACAGAAAACUGUGAGAAGUGUUUUCAAGAACUUAAACAGAGACUAGUCUCAGCUCCUAUUUUGACUAUACCUGAAGGUUCGGAUGGGUUUGUAAUUUAUAGCGAUGCCUCCAAACAAGGCUUGGGUUGUGUUUUGAUGCAACAUGGAAAGGUGAUUGCUUAUGCCUCGAGACAGUUGAAACAGUACGAGCAGAACUAUCCGACGCAUGACCUAGAACUAGCAGCGGUGGUUCAUGCCCUAAAGAUAUGGCGUCAUUAUCUCUAUGGUGGAAAAUGUGAAAUCUAUACAGACCACAAGAGCCUCAAAUACUUCUUCACACAGAAGGAACUAAAUAUGAGACAGAGGAGAUGGUUGGAAUUAGUGAAAGAUUAUGACUGUACAAUCCAUUACCAUCCAGGUAAGGCUAAUGUAGUUGCAGAUGCCCUAAGCAGGAAGACAGGAUCACAAUUAGCAGUUUUACCCACGGUGCAGGAACACUUGAUACAUGACUUUGAAAAGCUGAGGUUGGAAGUUACCACUCCGUCAACUAGGACUACAGUGAGAAUAAGAGCGUUUAUGAUUCGACCUACUCUUCAGGAUCGAAUCAAGGAAGCACAGGAUAAGGAUUCAUUUUUACAGAAGAUAAAAGCUGAGGUUGGUACAAACAAACGUAUAGGAUUUGAGGUAUCUGUGGAUAAUACGUUAACUUUUAAAGGAAGGUUGUGUGUACCUAAAGAUGAAAGUAUAAGAAAUGAGAUAUUGAAAGAGGCUCAUUCUACCCCGUAUGCUGCACAUCCAGGCAGUACAAAAAUGUAUCGAGAUCUCCGAGAUACAUUUUGGUGGAGAAACAUGAAGAGAGAAAUUGGACUAUUCGUGGAGAAAUGUAUUAUCUGUCAGCAAGUUAAGGCAGAACACCAAAGGCCAUCAGGAUUAUUGAACCCGUUGGAUAUACCAGAAUGGAAAUGGGAACAUAUAGCGAUGGAUUUUGUGGUAGGCUUUCCGAGGUCAGCAAGAGGACACAAUGCUAUUUGGGUAGUAGUUGAUCGUUUGACAAAAUCAGCCCAUUUUCUGCCUAUCAAAGUAAAUUUUAGUAUGGAACAGCUCGCGCAGUUAUAUAUCAGAGAGAUAGUCAGACUGCAUGGAGUUCCUGUCACCAUUGUUUCAGAUAGAGAUCCGAGGUUCACAUCAAAAUUUUGGAAAAGUUUGCAGACAGCCAUGGGGACGAAAGUGAAGUUUAGUACUGCUUAUCAUCCACAGACGGAUGGACAAUCCGAAAGAACCAUUCAAACUCUUGAAGAUAUGUUGAGGGCAUGUGUUUUGGACCUUGGCGGUAGUUGGGAGACACACCUACCGUUAGUGGAGUUUGCUUACAAUAAUAGUUUUCAAGCCACUAUAGGCAUGGCCCCAUAUGAAGCACUAUAUGGUAGAAAGUGCAGGUCCCCUAUCCAUUGGGAUGAGGUCGGGGAAAAGAGAAUUUUAGGUCCUGAAAUCAUUGAACGAACAGUUGAGGCUGUUGAUAAGAUUAGAGCAAGAAUAAAGGCAGCGCAAGAUCGACAGAAAAGUUAUGCUGACGUUAGAAGAAAAGAUUUAGAAUUCCAAGUGGGUGACAAAGUUUUUCUAAAAGUAGCACCAAUGAAAGGUGUGCUGAGGUUCGGAAAGAAAGGGAAGUUAAGACCACGAUUCAUUGGACCUUUUGAAAUUCUCGAAAGGAUUGGUAGUGUGGCUUACCGACUUGCCUUACCGCCUGAAUUGACAACAGUGCAUAACGUGUUUCAUAUUUCAAUGCUGAGAAAAUACGUCCAUGAUCCUAAUCACGUGGUGAAUUACCAAACUUUAGAGGUACAAAAGGACCUGUCUUACAAAGAAACCCCAAUGACGAUUUUAGACAGGAAAGUGCAUCAACUCAGGAAUAGAGAAGUUCCACUGGUUAAAGUGCUAUGGCGUAAUCAUGGACUGGAUGAGUCAACAUGGGAAAAGGAAGAUGAGCUUAAAAUCAAAUAUCCAGAACUCUUCAACUAGUUAAGGUAAAUUUUCGAGGACGAAAAUAUUUUAAGUAGGGGAGAUUGUAAAGCCCUGAAAAAUUUUAUAGAAUAGAAUUAAUUGUUUUAAAUUCUCAUUUCUUUGAGUCAAAUAAUUAGAUUUAAUGGAGCAAGUUUUAGUAUACCAAUAUUAGACUCUUUUUGUAACUUGUAAUUAAUUAGAAAUUUUUAACCAAAAAAAAGGUUAAUCAAAAUAGUUAGGCCCAAAAAUAUAAAGUUCAAAG
This 3997-nucleotide long non-coding RNA is filed under the name Olea europaea subsp. europaea. The record is from RNAcentral. Lineage: Eukaryota; Viridiplantae; Streptophyta; Magnoliopsida; Lamiales; Oleaceae.